ACAUACGACCAUAGGGUGUGGAAAACAGGGCUUCCCGUCCGCUCAGCCGUACUUAAGCCACACGCCGGUGAGUUAGUAGUUGGGUGGGUGACCACCAGCGAAUCCUCACUG
RNAcentral lists this ribosomal RNA (111 nucleotides) under Penicillium nalgiovense. Lineage: Eukaryota; Fungi; Ascomycota; Eurotiomycetes; Eurotiales; Aspergillaceae. The record is from RNAcentral.